UACGGAGGGGGCAAGCGUUGUUCGGAAUUACUGGGCGUAAAGGGCUCGUAGGCGGCCAACUAAGUCAUACGUGAAAUCCCUCGGCUUAACCGGGGAACUGCGUCUGAUACUGGAUGGCUUGAGUUCGGGAGAGGGAGGCGGAAUUCCAGGUGUAGCGGUGAAAUGCGUAGAUAUCUGGAGGAACACCGGUGGCGAAGGCGGCAUCCUGGACCGAUACUGACGCUGAGGAGCGAAAGCCAGGGGAGCAAACGGG
This 253-nucleotide ribosomal RNA is filed under the name uncultured bacterium. Its description in RNAcentral is "partial 16S ribosomal RNA". It matches the Rfam family "Bacterial small subunit ribosomal RNA", at positions 524 to 776 of the family's 1533-position model. The record is from RNAcentral.